Molecule: ribosomal RNA, 912 nt
Filed under: uncultured Bacillota bacterium
Lineage: Bacteria; Bacillati; Bacillota
Description: bacterial SSU rRNA
Rfam family: Bacterial small subunit ribosomal RNA
Source: RNAcentral
GACGAACGCUGGCGGCGUGCUUAACACAUGCAAGUCGAACGGGGUGUUUAUUUCGGUAAACACCAAGUGGCGAACGGGUGAGUAACGCGUAAGCAAUCUACCUUCAAGAUGGGGACAACACUUCGAAAGGGGUGCUAAUACCGAAUGAAUGUAAGAGUAUCGCAUGAGACACUUACUAAAGGAGGCCUCUGACAUAAGCUUCCGCUUGAAGAUGAGCUUGCGUCUGAUUAGCUAGUUGGUGAGGGUAAAGGCCCACCAAGGCGACGAUCAGUAGCCGGUCUGAGAGGAUGAACGGCCACAUUGGGACUGAGACACGGCCCAGACUCCUACGGGAGGCAGCAGUGGGGAAUCUUCCGCAAUGGGCGAAAGCCUGACGGAGCAACGCCGCGUGAACGAUGAAGGUCUUAGGAUCGUAAAGUUCUGUUGUUAGGGACGAAGGGUAAGGAUCAUAAUAAGGUUUUUAUUUGACGGUACCUAACGAGGAAGCCACGGCUAACUACGUGCCAGCAGCCGCGGUAAUACGUAGGCGGCAAGCGUUGUCCGGAAUUAUUGGGCGUAAAGGGAGCGCAGGCGGGAAACUAAGCGGAUCUUAAAAGUGCGGGGCUCAACCCCGUGAUGGGGUCCGAACUGGUUUUCUUGAGUGCAGGAGAGGAAAGCGGAAUUCCCAGUGUAGCGGUGAAAUGCGUAGAUAUUGGGAAGAACACCAGUGGCGAAGGCGGCUUUCUGGACUGUAACUGACGCUGAGGCUCGAAAGCUAGGGUAGCGAACGGGAUUAGAUACCCCGGUAGUCCUAGCCGUAAACGAUGGAUACUAGGUGUGGGAGGUAUCGACUCCUUCCGUGCCGGAGUUAACGCAAUAAGUAUCCCGCCUGGGGAGUACGGCCGCAAGGUUGCAACUCAAAGGAAUUGACGG